Molecule: microRNA precursor, 119 nt
Organism: Pan troglodytes (chimpanzee)
Lineage: Eukaryota; Metazoa; Chordata; Mammalia; Primates; Hominidae
Rfam family: mir-548 microRNA precursor family
Source: Rfam
UAUUAGGUUGGUGCAAAAGUAAUUGAGGGUUUUGCCAUUACUUUUAAUGGCAAAAAAGUACUUUUAAUGGCAUUAAAAGUAAUGGCAAAACCCGCAAUUACUUUUGCACCAACCUAAUA